CCUCCCUGUGACUUGGCUUUGGUAUUGCACUUCCUGUGGGGCCAGGAAACCUCCCUGGCUUUCUCAAAAGUUGGCUCAAGAAGGUGAACUGUGGGCCAGGCGCGGUGGCUCACGCCUGUAAUCCCAGCACUUUGGGAGGCUGAGGUGGGUGGAUCACGAGGUCAAGAGAUCGAGACCAUCCUGGUCAACAUGGUGAAACCCCGUCUCUACUAAAAAUACAAAAAAUUAGCUGGGCAUGGUGGCGCAUGCCUGUAAUCCCAGCUACUCGGGAGUCUGCGGCACGAGAAUUGCCUGAACCCAGGAGGCGGAGGUUGCUGUGAGCCGAGAUCACGCCAUUGUACUCCAGCCUGGGUAACAAGAGCGAAACUCCGUCUCAAAAAAAAAGAAGGUGUACUGUUGAAGACUUCUGCAUCCGGACAAAUCCAGUGGCUCAUGUGUACAGCAGAAUAAGUCUGGCCAACAUUUAUUGUGUGCUAUAGUACAGCUACUGUGCUAAGGCUUUACAUAAAUCCUUAUAGUAAACCUGUAUCUCCUACUUUACACAUCAAUAAACUGAAGCUCUGAACAACUAGGUAAUUUGUCUAAAGAUAACAGCUAGGAAGUGGCUGCAUUGGUAGUGUUCUUGACUGUAUGCUAUACUAACAUAGAAUCUCCCUAAAGAAUAGAAGACAGUUUAUAUAGCUUUUUUUAACUACUGAAUUUUCUUAGGCAGUCAAAGGGCUGUGAUUCUCUAUGCUGACUGCAUAUCAGAAUUACCUGGGUAGCUUUUGAAAAUGUAGAUUCCUGGCUUCCACCUAAUACUCAUUAAAGUAAUCUUUGUGGUUGGAACAUAGGAAUCUGGGUUUGGCGAAGUUUCCUCAGGUGAUUCUGAUGAGUAGCAAGGUCUGAAAAUCACUGGUCUAGGAACUACUUAUACAGAUCAAGUUUGCAAAAGUAUAAACAUAUAUAUUUGCAUAUGUAUUUGUUAGGUUCAAAUAAUUCUCCUAGCAGUAAAGUGUUGUAGGGAACCUACAAAUGUCCCAUCCAAUACGUUAAGUCAGCAAAUGUGUUGGACACAGAUGCAGUAGAGAGGCAAAAAGAAAUCACAUAAAAUGCUGCUCUGGAGGGACAAGGCAAAAUGUCCUAGGCACAAUGUCCUAGGCACCAAUAAGAGAGAGCCAUAUGUUCUACCUUAAGGUAAGUUAGUUGUGAGCAGCUGCACAAACUUACAGUCCCUAGGGAACUGGGAUCUCCUAUGAUUCAUCUUUGUAUGUCUUUUGAGUGCACUCAGCAAGAACACGCUCCCAAGGAUGAGGAGCAUGUUGCCUUCUGUGUGCUAGCCCCAAACUGCAGUCUGCAUACAGCUGAAGAUAGACCAUAAUAGAGACUAUCCCCUAGGAAAGAGGGAAUUAUCUUUAGUGAAAACAAAACCCAGAGACAUCAGGAGUUCAGUUCUGGAAGGAAUAUCUUCAAGUGAGACAAUGUGGUUGCCCAAAUAGCCUAAAUUUUAUCCUUCUGAUUAUUCAUAUUCUUUAGGGUUUGCCCACUGUGACAUUACUCUGAUCUAAGGAAUAUUCUGCUGAUCAUUUAAAGCACUGGUCCAUGGGUGAACACUUCCUCCCUUGGUUCCUCUUAGGACAGCUAAGAAAGAACUUUUUACAAGCUUAGCCUAUUAUUGGGCACACAAUGUAUAAAGAUGUAAUUAGUGCCAUCAAUAGAAAGGGACGAGUGAAGCAAUAUAGGACCAGAGAUUUUGUAUGCUACUGAAGUUAAGUUGGUAUAAAUUCAAAUGAGUUUGUUACAACAUUAGGAUGUUAAAUGUAAUUCUCAUGGUAAACACAAAAAAUACCUGUAGAAUAUACAUAAAUGGAAAUCAUCAGAGAAUCAACAUUUACUAUAAAAAGUAAGCUAAACACAAAAGAUGGCAGUAAUAGAGGAAAUGAGGUACAAAAAAAAAAACCCUAAAAGGCAUAUAGAAAACAAAUAGCAAAAUAGAAAUCCCUCUUUAUCAGUAAUUACUUUAAAUAUAAAUAAAAUGUCCAAGGAAAAGACAGAUUGACAAAAAAACCCCAGCAAAUUCUAGAAUCUAACUAUAUGCUGUCUAUGAAAGAUAAAAAUAGAUCAAAAGUGAAAGAAUAGAAAACGAUAAUUCAAUGCAAAUAGUAACCAAAAGAGAGCUGGGGUAGUUGUACUAAUAUCAGACAAAAUAAGCUUUAAAUCAAAAAAGUUUCCAAGGGCAAACAGAAACAUUAUAUUAUAAGAAAAGUCAAUAUAGCAUGAAGAUAUAACAAUUAUAAAUAUUUAUAUACCUAAUAAUAGACCGUCAAAUUUAUGAAGCAAAACUUGACAGAAUUGAAGAGAGAUACAGUUCUACAACAAUGGUAGCAAACUUCAUUCACCCACUUUCAAUAAUAGAUAGAACAAACAGUUAGAAAAUAAAGAAAUAGAGGACAUGAACAACACAAUAAUUACAUCUACACAUAUAAAGAACACACUACCCAACAACAUCAGCAUAAACAUUCAUCUCAAGUGCAUGUAGGACAUUCUUAGACAGACCAUAUGUUAGGCCACAAAAUAAGUCUCAAUCUAUUUUAAGAAUACAUAUCACACAAAGUUUCUUCUCUGACCACAACAGGAAUCAGUAACAGAAGUAAAACUGGAAAAUUCACAAAUAUGUUAAAAUUAAACAAAACACUCAAAUGACCAAUGAGUCACAGGCAAAAGCAACACAAAAGAAAUUAUAAAAUACUUAGAGACAAAAACACAACAAACUUAUGGGAUGCAGUAAAAGCAGUGCUAAAGGGAAAUUUAUAGCUAUGAAUGUCUACAUUAAAAAAGAAGAUCUAAAAUCAAUAACCUGACUUUAUACCAUAAGAAACUUGAAGUAGAAGAACAAAUGAAACCCAAAACUAGGCCAGGCAUGGUGGCUCAAGCCUGUAAUCCCAGCACUUUGGGAGGCCGAGGUGGGUGGAUCAUGAGGUCAAGAGAUCAAGACCAUCCUGGUCGGGAGAAGGAUGAAAAUGGCUCUGUAGGACCAACUCAGGAUUGCAGCUCCCAGUUAAUCUGCAGAGGGUGAGUGGAUGCUGCAUUUUUAUACGGAUCUUUAUUGUCCACAGACUAGAUUCCCAGGUGUAAGAGCCCCACCGGCCACCAGUGCAGCAGUUUGGGCCAGUACGGCUGUUUGGGCCGAGACCACAGUGCAGCGACACUCCGUACAAAAUACUCGGGUUUGGUUGCCCUGUUAAACCAGCAAUUGGAGAUUUCGGAAGGCACAUUAGCACAUUCAUCUGAUUAAAUGGGACUUAAACAGAAAGCCAGUCCAGGAGAUUCCCAGGCAGCAACAUGGUUUGAGCUGGCAGUGGGUCACUGCAUGGGAAAUCACACAGAUCUCGGCACCCUUGCAGCAGGUGACUGGAACAACUGGGAGAGAGUCAACCGUUCAACUUAAAAAAAAAAGGCGGGGGGGGGGCUCUGAGGCAGGAAGCCAGGUGAUCAGGCUCGAUGGGUCCCACCCCCACAAUAACAAACAAAAUAGCAACUGAAAACGCUUGGGGUUGAGAGUUUCAUGGCAAGCACAGCUGAACCCAGGACAGUGCAGCUUGGUGGGGGAGGGGUGUCCUCCACUACCGAGGCAUGCGACCCCUACGGAGGUACGCUGCCAUUGCUGACGCAGCCUGCCAUUUCCAAGGCAACCCGCCAUAACAGAGAGUCCACCACUACAGAGGCGGGCCACCAUCGCCACUGCAGUUCUAACCACACCCAUAUAUAAACAGGACUACAGGGAAUUACACAGGGCAGGAGGGCAGAGCCCACGGCAGCAGGGCAGAGCCCAUGGCAACAGGGCGGAGCCCACAGCAGCUCAUAAUAGCCACUACAGGCAGGCAGUGAUUAAACUGCCUCCUUGCUGGGCAGGAAAGUGCAACGAAUACUCAUAAAUAAAGCCCUAACUUCCCGGGACAGAGCACCUGAGGAAUAAAAAAGGGGGGGCUUUAUAAGUUCUGUUGCAACAGACUUAAACGAACCUGCCUAGCAGCCCUGAAUGAACAACGGAGCUCACAGCUCAGCACUAGAACUCCUAUAAAGUACAAACUGUCUCCUCAAGCAGCUCUCUGAGCCCCCUAUAUCCAAAGACUCACCUCACAAAGGACUGAUCAGACUGACAUUUGGUGGGCAUCAUUCAGGGACAAAGAUAGCAGAAGAAUAAUCUGGUAGCAACCGUCACAGUUCCGCCGCUGCUACAGGAGUUCCCCAGGCAAGCAGGGCCUGGAGUGGACCUCAGCAGUCCUACAGAAGUGAGGCCAGACUGUUAGAAGGAAAACUAAGAAAAAGAAAUACUUCAUCAUCAACAAUCUGGAAGUCCACUCAGAGACCAAAUUGGAAAAUCAGCAACCACCUGGAAGACAGGUGGAUAAAUCCACAAAGAUGGGAAGAAACCAGCGCAAAAAGGAGGAAAACACAUGAAACCAGAAUACCUCGCCUCCUACAAAGGACCAGAACUCCUCACCAGCAAGGGAACAAAGCUGGACAGAGAAUGAGUGUGACGAAAUGACGGAAUCAGACUUCAGAAGGUGGGUAAUGAGAAACUUCCAUGAGCUAAAAGAACAUGUUCUAAAUCAAUGCAAAGAAACUAAGAACCUUGAAAAAAUAUUUGAGGAAAUGAUAACAAGAAUGGACAACUUAGAGAGGAAUAUGAGUGAUUUGAAGGAGUUGAAAAACACAACAUGAGACCUUCGCAAUGCAUGCACAAGUUUCAACAGCUGAAUUGACCAGGCAGAAGAAAGGAUAUCAGAAGUCGAAGAUCAACUCAUUGAAAUAAAACGAGAAGCCAAGAUUAGAGAAAAAAGUGCAAAAAGGAAUGAAACAAAGUCUCCAAGAAAUGUGGGACUAUGUGAAAAGACCUAACCUACGUUGCAUAAGUGUACCUGAAUGUGACAAAGAGAAUGAAUCCAAGCUGGAAAAUACUCUUCAGGAUACUAUCCAGGAAAAUUUCCCCAACCUAGCAAGGCAGGCCAAUAUUCAAAUCCAGGAAAUACAGAGAACACCACAAAGAUAUUCCUCAAGAAGAGCAACCCCAAGGCACAUAAUUAUCAGAUUCACCAGGGUUGAAAUGAAGGAAAAAAUGCUAAGGGCAGCCAGAGAGAAAGGUCGGGGCACCCACAAAGGGAAGCCCAUCAGACUCACAGCAGAUCUCUCGGCAGAAACCCUACAAGCCAGAAGAGAGUGGGGACCAAUAUUCAACAUCCAUAAAGAAAAGAACUUUCAUCCCAUAAUUUCAUAUCCAGCCAAAGUAAGCUUCAUAAGUGAAGGAAAAAUAAAAUCGUUUGCAAACAAGCAAGUACUCACAGAUUGUGUAACCACCAUGCCUGCUUUACAAAAGCUCCUGAAAGAGGCACUACACAUAGAAAGGAACAACCAGUACCAGCCACUCCAAAAACAUACCAAACGGUAAAGAGCAUCAACAAUUGAAGAAUCUGCAUCAACUAAUGGGCAAAACAGCCAGCUAGCAUCAAAAUGGCAGUAUCAAAUACACACAUAACAAUAUUAACCAUAAAUGUAAAUGGGCUAAAUGCACCGAACAAAAGACACACACUCGCAAAUUGGAUAAAAAGCCAAAACCCAUCAGAGUGCUGUAUCCAGGAAACCCAUCUCACAUGCAAGGAUACACAAAGGCUCAAAAUAAAGGGACGGAGGAAGAUUUACCAAGCAAAUAGAGAGCAAACAAAAAAAAAAAAAAAAAAGCAGGAGUUGCAAUUCUCAUCUCUGAUAAAAUAGACUUUAAAGCAACAAAGACCAAAAGAGACAAAGAAGAACAUUACAUAAUGGUAAAAGGAUCGAUACAACAAGAAGAGCUAAGGAUCCUAAAUAUAUAUGGACCCAAUACAGGAGCACCCAGAUAUAUAAGGCAAGUUCUUAAUGACUUACAAACAGACUUAUACUCCCACACAAUAAUAGUGGGAGACAUUAACAGUCACUGUCAAUAUUAGACAGAUCAACCAGACAGAAAAUUAACAAGGAUAUCCAGGGCUUGAACUCAGACCUGGAACAAGCAAACCUGAUAGACAUUUACAGAACUCUCCACCCCAAAUCCACAGAAUAUACAUUCUUCUCAGCACCACAUCACACCUACUCAAAAAUUGACCACAUAAUUGGAAGUAAAGCACUCCUCAGCAAAUGCAAAACAACUGAAACCAUAACAAACUGUCUCUCAGAUCAUAGUGCCAUCAAGUUAGAACUCAGAAUUCAGUAACGAAUUCAGAACCACACAGCUUCAUGGAAACUGAACAACUGGCUCUUGAAUGUUGAUUAGAUAAACAAUAAAAUGAAGGCAGAAAUAAAGAAGUUCUUCGAAACCAAUGAGAAUAAAGGCACAACAUACCAGAAUCUCUGGAACACAUUUAAAACAGUCUCUAGAGGAAAAUAUAUAGCAAUAAGUGCCCACAUGAGAAGAGUGGAGAGAUCCAAAAUUGACACCCUGUCAUCAAAACUGAAAGAGUGGGGGAGGACUCAAGAUGGCGCUGUGAGAACAACCCAGGAUUGGAGCUCUCGUUGAAUCCGCAAACAGAAGACAGCAGCAUCCAGUCCCAGCCUCCCCUGGGAGCAGGCAGUUGGCAACCCUGCGCUGACAGGCCUCGAUCCCGAGGCCGCGUGUCCUCAGUAGGUGCCCAGACGGACUGAAGCCAUGGCCAUUCUUUUUGCCGUUGUUGCCAGAGGGCCCACUAUCUUUGCCAAACAUGCUUGGUGUGGAGGAAAUGCCUGUCUUAACAUCUCACCACCUUCCUGGAGGUGACAGAGCAUAUUCUGGCUAAGAUACCUUCUGAAAAUAACAAACUAAGGUACUCACAUGGCAAUUAUUUGUUUCAUUACAUCUGCCAAGACAGGAUUGUAUAUCUUUGUAUCACGGAUGAUGAUUUUGAAUGUUCCCGAGACUUUAAUUUUCUGAAUGAGAUAAAGAAGAGGUUCCAGACUGCUUAUGGUUCAAGAGCACGGACAGCACUUCCAUAUGCCAAGGAAAGUGAGUUCUCAAGUGUCUUGGCUGCACAGCUGAAGCAUCACUCUGAGAAUAAGGGCCUAGACAAAGUGAUGGAGACUCAACCCCAAGUGGAUGAACUGAAAGGAAUCAUGGUCAGAAACGUAGAUCUGGUAGCUCAGCGAGGAGAAAGAUUGGAAUUAUUGAUUGACAAAAAAGAAAAUCUCAUGGAUUCUUCUGUCACCUUCAAAACUGCUAGCAGAAAUCUUGCCCAAGCCAUGUGUAUAAAGAAUCUCAAGCUCACUAUCAUCAUUAUCAUCAUAUCAAUUGUGUUCAUUUGUAUCAUUGUCUCACCUCUCUGUGGUAGAUUUACAUGGCCAAGCUGUGUGAAGAAAUAAGAAAGAAAAAGUUAACAUUAAUUAAGGAUAUGAGAGAACAAGGAGUUAAAAGCAAUCUUUGUGACUCAAGCCUUUCACAUACUGAGAGAUGGUAUCUGCCAGUCUCUUCAACCCUCUUCUCACUUUUUAAAAUCUUGUUCUAUGCCUCCAGGUUUAUCUUUGUCUUAUCAACCAGUUUAUUCCCUUGAACUUCAGAUUGAACCAUUCAUUGCAGCCGUAGUCUUAAAAAGGCUUCUGUUUAUUUCUUUGGUUUGUUAACUAGUGUCAUCUAUUUAGAAAAACAUUUUUGUUUUUAAUUGUACAAAGCUGUGACCACUAGUCUUAUGAGCUAUCUACUAAAACUAUGGAGAAACUUUGUAUAUGCACACAAAAGUAUUCAAGAGACAGACAGUAUUGCUAACAGCUCAUCUUAAUGUCUUUUGUUAUUGAGAAGUUUUAGGUGCUUCAAAACAAUAUAAAUGGAUAACAGUUGUUAUUUGGGGAAUUGUAAUGAUGUUGGUGCUGCUAGCUUCUAAGAGAUCAGACAAGUAAAGUAUGAAACAUUCUUAUUUCAGUUAGAUGGGAAACAUUUUGCUAGCACAUUAGAAGCACACAGAAUUAUCCUUGUCCCCAUAGUAUUUACUUUCAGGAAUAAAGUUCAGUGUGCUGAUCAUUUAUGAUACAGAUAGCUUGAUAUCUUCUGUUUUCCCAUUACUGUUAAUUUGAGAAGAUGAAGGUUUAAAUUUUUAAAAAUUUUUUUUAUGGCA
Callithrix jacchus (white-tufted-ear marmoset) is the source of this 8090-nucleotide non-coding RNA. Lineage: Eukaryota; Metazoa; Chordata; Mammalia; Primates; Cebidae. The record is from RefSeq and is a predicted model, not a curated record.